AUUCCCUUCUGCCUUUCUCGGCGAUGAUAAAAGGCUUUGCUCUGGCAAUAGGAAUUUAGAAAAAAAGAAAAAGCUGCGCUAAACUCCACCGUGACCUCAAACUCUUUGGACUGUUUGAAAAAAAAAAAAAAUUGGAAGAAAAUCCAUCCUCCAAGAGAAUCGGCAUAGGAGGAGAUGGAAGUUUUCCCCUUGCUCUUGGUUUUGUCCGUCUGGUGGUCUCGAACCUGGGACUCUGCGAAUGCGGAUUCGAUCAUUCACAUCGGAGCAAUUUUUGAUGAAUCUGCCAAAAAGGAUGAUGAGGUGUUUCGCACAGCAGUUGGUGACCUUAACCAGAAUGAGGAGAUCUUACAGACUGAGAAAAUCACAUUUUCAGUGACGUUUGUUGAUGGCAACAACCCUUUCCAAGCAGUUCAAGAAGCCUGUGAACUUAUGAAUCAAGGCAUCUUGGCCCUGGUCAGCUCCAUUGGCUGCACGUCAGCAGGCUCCCUCCAGUCUUUGGCAGACGCCAUGCAUAUCCCACACCUCUUCAUUCAGCGCUCAACAGCUGGGACCCCAAGGAGUGGCUGUGGACUCACCCGGAGCAACAGGAAUGAUGACUACACUCUCUCAGUUCGCCCACCUGUCUACUUGCAUGACGUUAUCCUAAGAGUGGUCACAGAGUAUGCCUGGCAGAAAUUCAUUAUAUUCUAUGAUAGUGAAUAUGAUAUCCGUGGAAUACAGGAGUUCUUGGACAAAGUGUCUCAGCAGGGAAUGGAUGUUGCACUUCAGAAGGUAGAAAACAACAUCAAUAAAAUGAUCACCACUCUCUUUGACACCAUGAGAAUAGAAGAACUGAAUCGCUAUCGAGACACUCUUAGGCGAGCGAUCCUUGUUAUGAAUCCUGCUACAGCCAAAUCCUUCAUUACUGAGGUUGUGGAGACGAAUUUGGUUGCUUUUGACUGUCACUGGAUCAUUAUAAAUGAGGAAAUAAACGAUGUGGACGUACAGGAACUUGUAAGAAGGUCAAUUGGAAGGUUAACGAUUAUUCGGCAGACAUUUCCAGUUCCCCAGAAUAUAAGUCAGCGGUGUUUCCGUGGCAACCAUCGAAUAUCUUCAACAUUGUGUGAUCCAAAGGAUCCAUUUGCUCAGAAUAUGGAGGUAUAUUAUAAAUGACAGGAUAUUUCUUCCAGGGUGCUUUGUUGGGCAAUUGCAAGGAGAGCUUUAUGAGUUGCAUUGGAUUCAGAAUUAUACGUGUUAUUUCUGAACAAUUCUCCUCCAGCAAUUUCAUAAGUCUAUUGGGGAGAAAGUGCUAAGAAUUUGCAUCUUCGUUCUUUUUGAUCUCAUUAUAGAAAAAUUUCUACUUGUUUAAUAAAAAAAUAUAAUAAGUAAAGGUUAUUUUCUUCUAAACAAGUAGGUCCAUAACAUUUCCCAUAGGAGAAUUUGUAAUUGGUACUCCUUUUUCCAAACUCUAAAUUAUUAAACUAAUAAAUAUGCUUGACUUUUCUGGCAUAAGA
RNAcentral lists this small RNA (1493 nucleotides) under Pongo abelii (Sumatran orangutan). Its description in RNAcentral is "processed transcript". Lineage: Eukaryota; Metazoa; Chordata; Mammalia; Primates; Hominidae. The record is from RNAcentral.